This 133-nucleotide transfer RNA is filed under the name Metarhizium acridum CQMa 102. It matches the Rfam family "tRNA". From Rfam's summary of the family: Transfer RNA (tRNA) molecules are approximately 80 nucleotides in length. Their secondary structure includes four short double-helical elements and three loops (D, anti-codon, and T loops). Lineage: Eukaryota; Fungi; Ascomycota; Sordariomycetes; Hypocreales; Clavicipitaceae. The record is from Rfam by way of RNAcentral.
UCCUCCGUGGCGCAAUUGGCUAGCGCGUCUGACUGUUAAUCAGGAGGUAAGAUAUCCGAAUAUAUCUGAUAUCUAGUGACGAAAUAAUGUUAACAUAAUUCCAAGGUUGAAAGUUCGAGCCUUUCCGGGGGAG